AGGGAACAUGUGACAAAGGCUUUCAUGUUUAAAGAGUCACUUUGACUGCUGUGUGAAGCAGAUUGCAAGGUGUAAGAAAAGAGGUAGGGAAGGCAAUAUGUUGCAGUAGCCCAGGCAAGAUGGGGCUAUAUUCUGUCCUGGAAGAACAGAGAGAGACCUUCCUAACCACUGUAAAGUAACUGUGUCCAGCACCCUUUUAGUUUCUUAGUAUUUUAUUUCUUUUGCUUCCUUGUUAAGGUUUUUUCCUCCAACUAGAAUGUGAGCUUCAUGAGGUGUCUGUCUUGUUCACCACUGAUUUCUGACAUCUAGUAUAGUAGGUACUCAAGUAUUUGUUGAAUGACUUAAUUAAGUUGGAUAGUGUCAGUGAAGAUAGGAAGAUAUGGAUGAAUUUUAGAGAUUUAGGAUGGAAAGCUGACAGACUGAGAGGAUGGAUUGGUGACAUUUCAGGAUCCACGUUUUAAAAAAGAACACUGAAAAGUAAUUUCCUCUUCAGUGGAAAGAACACAGGCUUGUGAGUCAGACAUUUCUGAUAUAGCUAAUAAUAGCCACUUUUUUUUUUUAAUAGAUGGGGUCUUGCUAUUUGCUUAGGCUGGAGUGCAG
Molecule: long non-coding RNA, 600 nt
Filed under: Homo sapiens (human)
Lineage: Eukaryota; Metazoa; Chordata; Mammalia; Primates; Hominidae
Description: HSALNT0096049
Source: RNAcentral